CUUGACGUCUCUCUUUCCAUUGACUUUUGAAGCAACUGUUGGAGUUCUAACAUGUUCCAUGAAGAAUCUGUCUCCUACCAACCAAAUCAAUUCACUAACUUUAACCAUGUGAUAAAUCUAAAGAUAGAGACAAUUUUAAGAUGACUCUAAAGAGAAAAUGUGAAUGAAUGCAUGUUUCUAGCAAUAAAACAGAACAAAUGGUGUAAUAAGGACAGCAAAUCUCAGACAUGUGGAUGAUGGAAAUACUGCACGUUUGUUUCAUUUACUACCAUUUUAAGUGCACAGCAGUAUCCAACUUGUGGGUGGUUUUGAUCCACAUCUGUAUCAUUUAUGUUUUUAUGUCAUAUUUAUGUGAUCAUUUGACUUUUUGACAUCACAACGAUGACAGUCUUGGCCUCAUUUUAACCCAAACUCAAAGGUUAAAGUGCUUAUUUUACCCAAAACAACAAACCUUAAAGCUUAAUGUUAGUGAUUUGUUAGCUGCAGCACAGAGAAACAGUCACUGCUACAAAUUAUGUCACAUUGUUCAGGAUGAAAAAUGUGCCUUUUUCAGGGCUUUGUUCAUGCCUUCAUCAAUACCAAUUUGUUGAUGAACCCAAGACUUGGGGUGAAGCCCAACAGUACUGCAGAGAAAAGUUCACCGAGCUGGCUACUGUGGACAACAAGGAAGACGUGGCUCAACUGAUUGCUGCUGCUGGCAGUGGCUACAGUGGAAAAGUAUGGAUUGGCCUGUAUGACAAUUCUAGCAGCUGGGCGUGGUCGAUGAGAGAUGAUGGCUACUAUGGAAACAACAAUGAGUCCAUCAGGUGGUACCCUGGUCAACCAAAUCGUAGCAGAGAACGGUCGAAGCUAUGCGGUACUGUAUAUAAAGGUCGAUUGGUUGAUGUGUUUUGCUCCAACAUGCGUCCCUUUCUCUGCUAUGACAAUUCAAACGGUGAGCAAAACAUUGCUUGUUGUGGUUUCUGUGAUCCAAUAAUACGUAGUGCGUUUUCCAGACUGUGGUACAAUUAUUACUUCAAGUGUUUGUAUAGACCCCAAAACAGAAAAUGAACGGUGGCUUUGACUGUUUCAUUUGUCUUGCAAAGAUAUAACUCAGACGUGAAAAUUUGACACUUUUAUUCAUUUGUUUUCAUACAUAUUGGACUUUUUAACACUGUUGGUCAGAAUCAGUUGCUUUUGUGGUCAAAUUAGUCUGACCUAACUUCCAAAAUUCUUGCCAGCUUCUUCUCCCCCAAGCUAUGUCUUUAAGAACUGGACGAACCUGACAUGGGAGGAAGCUCAGAGCUACUGCAUGGAGUUCCACACAGACCUGGCCUCCGUAAGGAAUGAAGAAGAGAGUACACUGAUCCAGCAGAUCGUAAAAGGAAUAAAGUAUGUUUUCGUUGGCUUGUCCAGAAAACCCUGGCCCUCUUGGUCAGAUGGCACAGAGCACAAAUUCAAAAACUGGCUGAUCAGACACCCAUCAUCUGAAGAAACUGGAGACUGCGCUACCAGUUUGAUCGGUGCUACUGACGCUGGAAAGUGGGUCGAAGAUCAUUGUGACCGAAAACUUCCUUUCAUGUGCCACUACGAGAAAAAGCAGCAGCUUCGGAUCAAACUGAGGGCACUGAAUCCCACAGUCGACCUGAAUGACCCCGCUGUGAUGGAGGCCAUCCUGAAACUGCUGGAGGAGAAGAUGAAAGAGAAGGGGAUCAUAGCAGGUUUCAAACUUAGAUGGGUCAAGAAGUCUGACAACACCGUCUUCCACGAAGAAAAGAAUGAACUGUAAACUGUAUUUAUAGGAUAUUUUGCCAUUUAUUUUACUUUGAAGGUUUACGCUUUAGUUUGACAUGAGUUUCGAGUCAACUAAUGAACAUCAAAUUCUCAUGUGAGACAUUUAUUAUUUUGGAGUAGAGCAGAGCAAAUUGUUCAUCAAACUGCACAAACAUGUUAUUUAUCCUGUUGCUGUGUUGCUAAAUUAAUCGUAGGGCAGAUUUACAUGUGAAAUUCUACACAUUUAAGCUCUGAAAACUUUCUCAUGUGAAAAUGUAAUGAAUUGCAGAGACAUUAGCAUAUCCCUGUAAAGCUGGAUUCAUUUAUAAAGCGUGUUGUAUUUUUAAGAGUGAUGUGUGAUGUAUUAGGAUUUAAUAUUGUAGCUUUGUAAGAAUAUCCCUGAGGUCAAGAGAGUUGUGAAGGAAAAAUGACUCUUUCCCCUUUCUAAGGUCAUAAUGGCCUUUAGACAGGUAGACGCUGCAGGUUUGAUAAUGUUUAUUCUGACAUAACUAAGCAGACUAGUCUCCAUCUUGGUCUGUAGUCUAAAUCUGACCUUCUCCAACUACAAUAUAAACCCAAAGAUCAGAGAGAAUCCUCAGAACUGAUGCUGGCAUUGAUUGCUGUUAUGUUGGUGUCACUUCUCCUGAUAUCAGUAGACAUUACUCACAACCUAAGUCAUCUGAGCCUCCAGCGUGUCUGUUUGUAUCUGCCUCAACAUCGCUGAACUUCCACAUCAAGAGUCAAAUGAAUAUUUUUCGUUGUGUGGUUUUUACAUAUCUACAGAGCUGUAGCUUACUAGUAUCUGUUCUUUGUGUCAAAACUUGCAACUGUAAUCACUGUACCGAUUUAUGUUC
Acanthochromis polyacanthus (spiny chromis) is the source of this 2606-nucleotide long non-coding RNA. RefSeq lists it as uncharacterized. The record is from RefSeq and is a predicted model, not a curated record. NCBI's taxonomy places the organism in Eukaryota, Metazoa, Chordata, Actinopteri, Pomacentridae. The transcript is spliced from 3 exons.